AGUGAACGCUGGCGGUAGGCCUAACACAUGCAAGUCGAACGGCAGCACAGUAAGAGCUUGCUCUUACGGGUGGCGAGUGGCGGACGGGUGAGGAAUACAUCGGAAUCUACUUUUUCGUGGGGGAUAACGUAGGGAAACUUACGCUAAUACCGCAUACGACCUACGGGUGAAAGCAGUGGAUCUUCGGACCUUGCGCGAUUGAAUGAGCCGAUGUCGGAUUAGCUAGUUGGCGGGGUAAAGGCCCACCAAGGCGACGAUCCGUAGCUGGUCUGAGAGGAUGAUCAGCCACACUGGAACUGAGACACGGUCCAGACUCCUACGGGAGGCAGCAGUGGGGAAUAUUGGGCAAUGGGCGCAAGCCUGAUCCAGCAACACCGCGUGGGUGAAGAAGGCCUUCGGGUUGUAAAGCCCUUUUGUUAGGAAAGAAAAGCAGCAUGUUAAUCCCCCGCUGUUCUGACGGUACCCAAAGAAUAAGCACCGGCUAACUUCGUG
Molecule: ribosomal RNA, 492 nt
Filed under: uncultured bacterium
Lineage: Bacteria
Description: partial 16S ribosomal RNA
Rfam family: Bacterial small subunit ribosomal RNA
Source: RNAcentral